Long non-coding RNA from Poecilia reticulata (guppy), 605 nucleotides. RefSeq lists it as uncharacterized. The record is from RefSeq and is a predicted model, not a curated record. NCBI's taxonomy places the organism in Eukaryota, Metazoa, Chordata, Actinopteri, Cyprinodontiformes, Poeciliidae.
UCUUCACAAAAUGACACCGUUUAGCAGCUACUAAAGUGUCCACCCUGUUUCAAAGAAGAAAUCUUACACAACUUAUGAUGACAGUCACAUAUUUUGUCUGCCGCCAUCCCCGGUAGCAUAUUGUGCUAGCUAAUGUUAGCACUAGGUAAAGUGCAUAAACUAGGCUUGUGUACGGUAAUAUUCGCCUGUUGUUGGAUUCACUCUUCCCGUUCCACUAGGGGGCUCUAUAGUUGCUUUGUAUUGGUACGUGGAUUAAUGUGUAGAAGAAGGAAACAAACGGCGGACCAGUAGUGUACUUAGGUUGCCUAGCAACCACACUAACAAGCCGAACCUGCCAUAAAUUUACAUCUUACCAAUCUUACCAAUGUUCAUGAGUGUUGCCCAAUGUGUUUAACCGGCAUGUCCACGUAAAGCACUCGGCAAUAAAAGAACAGUUACAACAUCAACGGCUACCUUAUGUUCUUCGUAACAUAAAGUUAAACACACGGCAAUCAUGUUUAAAACCGGAGAUUCUGCGGGAGAAACAGACCUUGCUACGCUAAAGAGGAAGAGAGGAUAAGCUAAAGCAGCUGUAACUAAGAUGAUAACAUCGGCAAGCAAAAAAA